UACGUAGGGGGCGAGCGUUGUCCGGAUUUAUUGGGCGUAAAGAGCUCGUAGGCGGUUCGGCAAGUCAGAUGUAAAAACUCCAGGCUCAACUUGGAGAGGCCAUCUGAUACUGCCGUGACUAGAGUCCGGUAGAGGAGCACGGAAUUCCUGGUGUAGCGGUGAAAUGCGCAGAUAUCAGGAGGAACACCAGUGGCGAAGGCGGCGACCUGGACAGAUAUUGACGCUGAGGUGCGAAAGCGUGGGGAGCAAACAGG
This 254-nucleotide ribosomal RNA is filed under the name uncultured bacterium. RNAcentral describes it as "partial 16S ribosomal RNA". It matches the Rfam family "Bacterial small subunit ribosomal RNA", at positions 524 to 776 of the family's 1533-position model. The record is from RNAcentral.